UGACUGCUUUGUCUUGUAUUCCCUGACAGUC
This 31-nucleotide non-coding RNA is filed under the name Mus musculus (house mouse). The record is from RNAcentral. Lineage: Eukaryota; Metazoa; Chordata; Mammalia; Rodentia; Muridae.